This 255-nucleotide ribosomal RNA is filed under the name uncultured bacterium. RNAcentral's name for it is "partial 16S ribosomal RNA". It matches the Rfam family "Bacterial small subunit ribosomal RNA", at positions 524 to 776 of the family's 1533-position model. The record is from RNAcentral.
UACGGGGGGAGCAAGCGUUGUUCGGAUUUACUGGGCGUAAAGGGCGCGUAGGCGGCCACCGCAAGUCGACUGUGAAAUCUCCGGGCUUAACCCGGAGAGGUCAGCCGAUACUGCGGGGCUAGAGUGCAGAAGGGGCAACUGGAAUUCUCGGUGUAGCGGUGAAAUGCGAAGAUAUCGAGAGGAACACCUGCGGCGAAGGCGGGUUGCUGGGCUGACACUGACGCUGAUUGUGCGAAAGCUAGGGGAGCGAACGGG